UCUACUCUCCCAACCCCAAUUCCCCUGAAUUCUGUCUUUACGCGAGAGCUGGUGCCAAAGAAGAGGUCCGCCCCAGCCCAGCCUCCGCUCAUGCGCGCAGAGGCGGUGCCGAGGACGGGGCAGAUCAACCCGCGCGGCUACACCUACCCGCGCGGAAAGGGCGGGGCAUGCAAAUUGAAAAUGGCGCUUCAGCCCGAGGACGACGAAGCUACCGCAGGAGAGGGAGGGAAGUCCGCCAUCUGCAAGCCAAGAGAGGGAUCUCCCCGGAACCCUGCCACGCUGGCACCCUGAUCGGGGACUUCCAGUCUCUCCAGAACGCUCUGGCUUGUCAGAGGCACUCAGCAAAUCAUUGCCAGAGAGAAGAAUGGAUGAGCCAAGGGUUGUGCCUGACAGUUGGCUGCCUGGCCUCGGGGGAAGACCUCUGCCCUUGGAAGACCUUUGGAAGCAUCGUGGUGAUGUGACACCCCGGGGCAGGUGCUGGGAGUAGACAGAGGCAGGCCAGAAGCCGUUCCUGCCCUCAGGGCGCCUCCAACCCAGGAUGGGGGCUAAGACACCGGCCCAGAUGGCCAGAACACCAAGCAGGACAAGGAGGAGGCCAGUGAGAGAUGAACAGAUGGUUGGGGUGUUUGGACCACAGCCACCCCUUCUCAGGGAAGCCAAAUGAGUUGAGCAGAAGGUGGUCUGAUGCACACAGAUC
This is a long non-coding RNA of Eubalaena glacialis (North Atlantic right whale), 697 nucleotides long. RefSeq lists it as uncharacterized. Lineage: Eukaryota; Metazoa; Chordata; Mammalia; Artiodactyla; Balaenidae. The record is from RefSeq and is a predicted model, not a curated record. The transcript is spliced from 4 exons.